This 465-nucleotide ribosomal RNA is filed under the name uncultured bacterium. RNAcentral's name for it is "partial 16S ribosomal RNA". It matches the Rfam family "Bacterial small subunit ribosomal RNA", at positions 338 to 795 of the family's 1533-position model. The record is from RNAcentral.
CCUACGGGAGGCAGCAGUGGGGAAUUUUGCGCAAUGCUCGUAAGAGUGACGCAGCGACGCCGCGUGAAUGACGAAGGCCUUCGGGUCGUAAAGUUCUUUCGACAGGGAAGAAAAUGCCUAUAAGUAACUGUGUAUGUAUUGACGGUACCUGUAUAAGCAGCCCCGGCUAACUUCGUGCCAGCAGCCGCGGUAAUACGGAGGGGGAGAGCGUUGUGCGGAGUGACUGUGCAUAAAGAGCACGAAGGCGGUGUUGUAAGUCAUAAGUAAAAGAUUAGAGCUCAACUUUAAUAAGGCUAGUGAAACUAUAAUACUAGAGUAUCAGAGAGGAUAGCAGAAUUCCUGGUGUAGCGGUGAAAUGCGUAGAUAUCAGGAGGAAUACCGUUAGCGAAGGCGGCAAUCUGGCUGGAAACUGACGCUGAGGUGCGAAAGCGUAGGUAGCAAACAGGAUUAGAUACCCUUGUAGUC